UACCCUUGAUGGGGGAUAACCUCGGGAAACCGGGGCUAAUACCGCAUAACAUCUCUGGAUCGGAAGAACUGGAGAUCAAAGGAGCAAUUCGCUUAAGGAGGAGGUCGCGGCUGAUUAGCUAGUUGGCGGGGUAAUGGCCCACCAAGGCAAAGAUCGGUAGCCGGCCUGAGAGGGCGCACGGCCACACUGGAACUGAAACACGGUCCAG
Molecule: ribosomal RNA, 208 nt
Filed under: uncultured bacterium
Lineage: Bacteria
Description: partial 16S ribosomal RNA
Rfam family: Bacterial small subunit ribosomal RNA
Source: RNAcentral